This 500-nucleotide ribosomal RNA is filed under the name uncultured bacterium. Its description in RNAcentral is "partial 16S ribosomal RNA". It matches the Rfam family "Bacterial small subunit ribosomal RNA", at positions 29 to 523 of the family's 1533-position model. The record is from RNAcentral.
AUUGAACGCUGGCGGCAUGCCUUACACAUGCAAGUCGAACGGCAGCACGGGAGCAAUCCUGGUGGCGAGUGGCGAACGGGUGAGUAAAGUAUCGGAACGUGCCCAGUCGUGGGGGAUAACGUAGCGAAAGUUACGCUAAUACCGCAUACGAUCUAUGGAUGAAAGCGGGGGAUCGCAAGACCUCGCGCGAUUGGAGCGGCCGAUAUCAGAUUAGGUAGUUGGGGGGGUAAAGGCUCACCAAGCCGACGAUCUGUAGCUGGUCUGAGAGGACGACCAGCCACACUGGCACGAAGACACGGCCCAGACUCCUACGGGAGGCAGCGGUGGGGAAUUUUGGACAAUGGGCGCAAGCCUGAUCCAGCCAGGCCGCGUGCAGGAUGAAGGCCUUCGGGUUGUAAACUGCUUUUGUACGGAACGAAAAGGUUUGGGCUAAUAAGCUGAGCUCAUGACGGUACCGUAAGAAUAAGCACCGGCUAACUACGUGCCAGCCGCCGCCGCCG